Molecule: ribosomal RNA, 373 nt
Filed under: uncultured eukaryote
Lineage: Eukaryota
Description: partial 18S ribosomal RNA
Rfam family: Eukaryotic small subunit ribosomal RNA
Source: RNAcentral
CAAUAGCGUAUAUUAAAGUUGUUGCAGUUAAAAAGCUCGUAGUUGAAUUUUUGCUUGCCGCCGAUGUCGGAACUUCCGUACGUUCGGCGGCGUGCAUCCUUGGGUGGAACCUGUGUGGCAUUAGGUUGUCGUGCAGGGGAUGCUCAUCGUUUACUGUGAAAAAAUUAGAGUGUUCAAAGCAGGCUUACGCCGUUGAAUAUAUUAGCAUGGAAUAAUAAGAUAGGACCUUGGUACUAUUUUGUUGGUUUGCGCACCGAGGUAAUGAUUAAUAGGGACAGUUGGGGGUAUUCGUAUUCCAUUGUCAGAGGUGAAAUUCUUGGAUUUCUGGAAGACGAACUACUGCGAAAGCAUUUACCAAGGAUGUUUUCAUUAA